AACGAACGCUGGCGGCAUGCCUAACACAUGCAAGUCGAACGAUCCCUUCGGGGAUAGUGGCGCACGGGUGCGUAACGCGUGGGAACCUGCCCUUAGGUUCGGAAUAACUCAGAGAAAUUUGAGCUAAUACCGGAUAAUGUCUUCGGACCAAAGAUUUAUCGCCUUUGGAUGGGCCCGCGUUGGAUUAGCUAGUUGGUGGGGUAAAGGCCUACCAAGGCGACGAUCCAUAGCUGGUCUGAGAGGAUGAUCAGCCACACUGGGACUGAGACACGGCCCAGACUCCUACGGGAAGCAGCAGUGGGGAAUAUUGGACAAUGGGCGAAAGCCUGAUCCAGCAAUGCCGCGUGAGUGAAGAAGGCCUUAGGGUUGUAAAGCUCUUUUACCCGGGAUGAUAAUGACAGUACCGGGAGAAUAAGCCCCGGCUAACUCCGUG
RNAcentral lists this ribosomal RNA (433 nucleotides) under uncultured bacterium. Its description in RNAcentral is "partial 16S ribosomal RNA". It matches the Rfam family "Bacterial small subunit ribosomal RNA", at positions 29 to 507 of the family's 1533-position model. The record is from RNAcentral.